AUGGAUAUACUUUAGGAUCUUGUUUAAAAGUAGAUUCUGACUCAGUAAGUUAGGAUAGACCCGGGAUUGUAUAUUUCUGACAAGUUCGUGAGUGAUUUAAAA
Molecule: microRNA precursor, 102 nt
Filed under: Marmota monax (woodchuck)
Lineage: Eukaryota; Metazoa; Chordata; Mammalia; Rodentia; Sciuridae
Source: RNAcentral